UGCGGAUUCCUCAGACCCAGCCUGGAUAC
Molecule: non-coding RNA, 29 nt
Filed under: Homo sapiens (human)
Lineage: Eukaryota; Metazoa; Chordata; Mammalia; Primates; Hominidae
Source: RNAcentral